AUUGAACGCUGGCGGCAUGCUUUACACAUGCAAGUCGAACGGUAACAGGUCUUCGGAUGCUGACGAGUGGCGAACGGGUGAGUAAUGCAUCGGAACGUGCCCAGUCGUGGGGGAUAACGCAGCGAAAGCUGUGCUAAUACCGCAUACGAUCUAUGGAUGAAAGCGGGGGACCGUAAGGCCUCGCGCAAUUAGAGCGGCCGAUACCUGAUUAGCUAGUUGGUGAGGUAAAGGCUCACCAAGGCAACGAUCAGUAGCUGGUCUGAGAGGACGAUCAGCCACACUGGGACUGAGACAUGAUCAAACUCGUGUGUAG
Molecule: ribosomal RNA, 313 nt
Filed under: uncultured bacterium
Lineage: Bacteria
Description: bacterial SSU rRNA
Rfam family: Bacterial small subunit ribosomal RNA
Source: RNAcentral